Molecule: non-coding RNA, 102 nt
Organism: Podospora aff. communis PSN243
Lineage: Eukaryota; Fungi; Ascomycota; Sordariomycetes; Sordariales; Podosporaceae
Source: the annotation of a GenBank genome assembly
UCCCCUGUGGCGCAAUUGGAUAGCGCGUCGGACUGUUAGACCCUUCAUCCCAAAGAAGGGCCAGACAUCCGGAGGUUGUAAGUUCAAGCCUUACCGGGGGAG